Molecule: ribosomal RNA, 506 nt
Filed under: uncultured bacterium
Lineage: Bacteria
Description: partial 16S ribosomal RNA
Rfam family: Bacterial small subunit ribosomal RNA
Source: RNAcentral
GAUGAACGCUAGCUACAGGCUUAACACAUGCAAGUCGAGGGGUAACAAGAGAAAAGCUUGCUUUUCUUGUUGACGACCGGCGCACGGGUGAGUAACGCGUAUCCAACCUGCCUAUAACUAGGGAAUAACCUUGCGAAAGUAAGACUAAUACCCUAUGAUUUCCUUUGAUGACAUCAGAUUAGGAAUAAAGAUUUAUCGGUUAUAGAUGGGGAUGCGUCUGAUUAGCUUGUUGGCGGGGUAACGGCCCACCAAGGCAACGAUCAGUAGGGGUUCUGAGAGGAAGGUCCCCCACAUUGGAACUGAGACACGGUCCAAACUCCUACGGGAGGCAGCAGUGAGGAAUAUUGGUCAAUGGGCGGAAGCCUGAACCAGCCAAGUAGCGUGCAGGAUGACGGCCCUAUGGGUUGUAAACUGCUUUUAUACAGGAAUAAAGUUAGCCACGUGUGGUUAUUUGUAGGUACUGUAUGAAUAAGGACCGGCUAAUUCCGUGCCAGCAGCCGCGGUAA